Molecule: ribosomal RNA, 439 nt
Filed under: uncultured bacterium
Lineage: Bacteria
Description: partial 16S ribosomal RNA
Rfam family: Bacterial small subunit ribosomal RNA
Source: RNAcentral
CUACGGGCGGCUCCAGUAGGGAAUCUUAGACAAUGGGGGAAACCCUGAUCUAGCCAUGCCGCGUGAGUGAUGAAGGCCCUAGGGUUGUAAAACUCUUUCGCCUGGGAAGAUAAUGACGGUACCAGGUAAAGAAGCCCCGGCUAACUCCGUGCCAGCAGCCGCGGUAAUACGGAGGGGGCUAGCGUUGUUCGGAAUUACUGGGCGUAAAGCGCGCGUAGGAGGACUUUUAAGUCAGGGGUGAAAUCCCGGGGCUCAACCCCGGAACUGCCCUUGAUACUGGGAGUCUUGAGUUCGAGAGAGGUGAGUGGAAUUCCGAGUGUAGAGGUGAAAUUCGUAGAUAUUCGGAGGAACACCAGUGGCGAAGGCGGCUCACUGGCUCGAUACUGACGCUGAGGUGCGAAAGCGUGGGGAGCAAACAGGAUUAGAUACCCUUGUAGUC